This 452-nucleotide ribosomal RNA is filed under the name uncultured bacterium. RNAcentral's name for it is "bacterial SSU rRNA". It matches the Rfam family "Bacterial small subunit ribosomal RNA", at positions 29 to 526 of the family's 1533-position model. The record is from RNAcentral.
AACGAACGCUGGCGGCAGGCUUAACACAUGCAAGUCGAGCGAAGACUUCGGUCUUAGCGGCGGACGGGUGAGUAACGCGUGGGAACAUACCCUUUGCUACGGAACAGUCCCGGGAAACUGGGUUUAAUACCGUAUACGCCCUUCGGGGGAAAGAUUUAUCGGCAAAGGAUUGGCCCGCGUUGGAUUAGGUAGUUGGUGGGGUAAAGGCCUACCAAGCCGACGAUCCAUAGCUGGUUUGAGAGGAUGAUCAGCCACACUGGGACUGAGACACGGCCCAGACUCCUACGGGAGGCAGCAGUGGGGAAUCUUGGACAAUGGGGGAAACCCUGAUCCAGCCAUGCCGCGUGAUCGAUGAAGGCCUUAGGGUUGUAAAGAUCUUUCAGCGAGGAAGAUAAUGACGGUACUCGCAGAAGAAGCCCCGGCUAACUCCGUGCCAGCCGCCGCGGUAACAC